Molecule: ribosomal RNA, 253 nt
Filed under: uncultured bacterium
Lineage: Bacteria
Description: partial 16S ribosomal RNA
Rfam family: Bacterial small subunit ribosomal RNA
Source: RNAcentral
UACAGAGGUGGCAAACGUUGUUCGGAUUUACUGGGCGUAAAGCGCGUGUAGGCGGCUUGGCAAGUCGGAUGUGAAAGCCCACGGCUCAACCGUGGAAGCGCAUCCGAAACGGCCUCGCUCGAGUCUCGGAGAGGAAGGUGGAAUGCUUGGUGUAGAGGUGAAAUUCGUAGAUAUCAAGCAGAACACCUGCGGCGAAGGCGGCCUUCUGGACGAUGACUGACGCUGAGACGCGAAAGCGUGGGGAGCAAACAGG